ACGAUGAAGCCCUUCGGGGUGGAUUAGUGGCGAACGGGUGAGUAACACGUGGGCAAUCUGCCCUUCACUCUGGGACAAGCCCUGGAAACGGGGUCUAAUACCGGAUAACACUCCUGCCUGCAUGGGCGGGGGUUAAAAGCUCCGGCGGUGAAGGAUGAGCCCGCGGCCUAUCAGCUUGUUGGUGGGGUAAUGGCCCACCAAGGCGACGACGGGUAGCCGGCCUGAGAGGGCGACCGGCCACACUGGGACUGAGACACGGCCCAGACUCCUACGGGAGGCAGCAGUGGGGAAUAUUGCACAAUGGGCGAAAGCCUGAUGCAGCGACGCCGCGUGAGGGAUGACGGCCUUCGGGUUGUAAACCUCUUUCAGCAGGGAAGAAGCGAAAGUGACGGUACCUGCAGAAGAAGCGCCGGCUAACUACGUGCCAGCAGCCGCGGUAAUACGUAGGGCGCAAGCGUUGUCCGGAAUUAUUGGGCGUAAAGAGCUCGUAGGCGGCUUGUCACGUCGGAUGUGAAAGCCCGAGGCUUAACCUCGGGUCUGCAUUCGAUACGGGCUAGCUAGAGUGUGGUAGGGGAGAUCGGAAUUCCUGGUGUAGCGGUGAAAUGCGCAGAUAUCAGGAGGNAACACCGGUGGCGAAGGCGGAUCUCUGGGCCAUUACUGACGCUGAGGAGCGAAAGCGUGGGGAGCGAACAGGAUUAGAUACCCUGGUAGUCCACGCCGUAAACGUUGGGAACUAGGUGUUGGCGACAUUCCACGUCGUCGGUGC
Molecule: ribosomal RNA, 766 nt
Filed under: Streptomyces sp. A3M1 S1
Lineage: Bacteria; Bacillati; Actinomycetota; Actinomycetes; Kitasatosporales; Streptomycetaceae
Description: bacterial SSU rRNA
Rfam family: Bacterial small subunit ribosomal RNA
Source: RNAcentral